UUUUGGGUAUUUGCCUUAGUUAUGUUUUCUUUCUUUUCAAGUUGAUGUAUUUAAAAUAAAUUGAUGUUGUUGUUCUAAGAAUAUGAGUGUUGUUACUUGUUAUCGUUUAUUAAUUUUCCUUUUUUUUGUUAAGCGCCUUCUCGUGGUAGGUUUCUUCUUUAAUUUUAAAUACUCUGGUUUCAAUUAAGUAAGAGAAUGCAUAUAUAUUAUAAUUUAUUUUAAAUUUUGAAAUUGUGUAACCCAGGUAAGGGUAAAUUAAUAAAUUGGUAGUGUAAAAGAUCAAUGACGAAUGACAAUGAAACUAUUGAUCACUGUCGAAUUAUAUAUCUCCGUAUUGUUGUUCAUUAAGUGAGUCUACUAUCAAAUAGAAUAAUUUAUGGGAAAUUGUUAAGGGUAGUUAACCAAAACUAUAUAUCUCCGUAUUGUAGUUCAUUAGUGAGUCUGCUCGAACAUAAAAUUUUUGAUGGUAAAUGGCAAUGAAACUAUUGAUCACUGGUUUCCUCGAAAAAUAAUUAAAUUUUUGAAUCACUAGUAUCCUGUAAUUUUCUUCAAGAGGUAUAAAAAAUAAACCAAAUAUGUGUGAGGCAAGCUUUUAAUUCACUGAUUAUAUCUCCCUAUAGCAGUUCAUUUACUAAGUCUAAUAUCGAAUACAAAAAUGUACUAAGGAGGCCGACUAUUGACAAUGAAACUCAUGGGGAAGGUGCGGGGAGGACCCAAGAGGAAAGAGCAUAUUGCCCCAAUGAUGAUUAUUCCAAAAAGAACCCUUUCAUUAUGACUUAUUCUCGAGAUUUGCAAAAGAUUAAGAAGACAAUGAUCAGUGGGAUGCGGAUAGAGAAGUAUUACAUAUUUGAGAUAACUACGAGCUGCAGAUAGAUGAUGAGAUGAUUGGUUGAUUACGGGACUUCCUUAUGGAGAUAUGACUUACGACAUUCCAGAUGUGAAUUGCAAUAACUCGAAGUUCAAGGCCUUAAAGAGUAUGUACCAACAUUUGGGGGAUAUUAGCUACAGCUUGGUGUACGAAAAGUGUAUGGAUAAAAAUGAGAAGCCCAAAGAUUUUCUGAAGCACUUUGUCCUUUAUUUGGUUGCGAGUUGUUCUAUGCAUUACAACUAUCAACAAUAUUUCCCCAAAUCAUUGUUGGUUGUUGAAAGAAAAGUUCAUCAAUGAAGGGAAAAGAUAUAACUGGUCUAAAUAUGUACUUGAUUGGAUGGUCAAGUAUGGAGAAGGUGAUACUAACGGGGGAUUUAAGGGAUCUCCAAUUGUUCUUAUGAUUGGAUAUCUGGGCCGUUUGAACAUAGAUGGAAAAGGGAUGAUGUGGGACAAGAAGAAAUCGAGAAUCGGUGCAUGGCAACAACAGUUUAUUGAUAAAGCAAUUUCAGCUAAUAGGAGGCCUGAUGGUACCUUUGGUGCAGCUGAGGAUUUGGAGGAUAGAUUGACUGGAAAUAGAGAACCGCUAAUCAAAAGACCACGUUGGCAACACUUCCCUAGUUUUAGUACUGAAUCGAGUGGUAGUGCCCUUGAUUCCAUGGAUUAUAAGAAAGCGAAGAAUGGGGCUGGUUUCAAAUGCCCUCCCGAGACCAUUUCAAGAUGGAGAAGCUGCCGCACAGGAGAUGCUACAGAGAUGAGGCCAGAGGGAGAAGCUCCAAAAGAAAGUGCUAAUACAAGAAGAAUCUCUCGCAACAAAGCUCCUUCAAAGCGCAUUCCCACGUCUCCUGAAGAUACCAUUCGGAACUCCCCUGCAGCGACAAACCUUCCAAGAAGAAGCCCCCGCAAUAAAGAUCCAGCAGUGACGAUCAGCCGCACAGGAGAUGCUGCAGAGAUGAGGCCAGAGGGGGAAGCUCCACAAGAGAGUGCUCCUAAAAGAAGAAGCUCCGGCAACAAAGCUCUUUCAGAGCGCAUUCCCAUGUCUCCUGCAGAUACCAUUCAAAAUUCCCCUACAACGACAAACAUUCCAAGAAGAAGCCCCCGCAUUAAAAAUCCAGCAAUGAUGAUCAGUAAACAAAAAAGAUGUUAAUGGUGGGAAUUUUGGAUAUCGAUGACUACGGCUGUAUUGAGGGUCACAUUCGACGGCGUUGACAAGCAGCAUGUUGUGUGAUUACUAAUCUUGAUGGAUGAAAUAAACAAGAUACUUGGAGCAGUGUGGGACUUUGUUACUGCUGCAAAUCCUUUCGUUGAACAUUUUCUUUUUUUUGGGGGGGUAUGCAAAACUAGUUUGAUAAACCAGAAUAUUUGAUGUCUGUAUGAUUUGUAGUGCAAGUUAACCUUUUUACCUAACAAAACUGGUUUGGUUGCACAUAUAUUAUUAAUUAUGGUAGUAUAUUGUAGGAUAAGGUGUGUAUUUUUGUCAAAUAACUUAAGUGUAGUUUAAGUAAUAAUUGAAAUAUAUAAUUAUAUAUCUAUCA
RNA transcript from Chenopodium quinoa (quinoa), 2400 nucleotides. RefSeq lists it as uncharacterized. The record is from RefSeq and is a predicted model, not a curated record. The transcript has 7 exons. Lineage: Eukaryota; Viridiplantae; Streptophyta; Magnoliopsida; Caryophyllales; Amaranthaceae.